This 1424-nucleotide long non-coding RNA is filed under the name Sus scrofa (pig). RNAcentral describes it as "lncRNA (ENSSSCG00060028141.1)". The record is from RNAcentral. Lineage: Eukaryota; Metazoa; Chordata; Mammalia; Artiodactyla; Suidae.
AUGGUCUUGGAGCAUUACAGCUCCACAGCUUUCACGGCCAUUGAGAACAACACGCUUGAUGACAGACCCAAAGUGUCUGUGAUCACGGAGUUCUCCUCAUUCUGGGAGGUAGAAAACACAGGCAAUGGAUGGUCUUGGAGCGGGGACGGAGUUCGCCUCACUUGGAGGGAAGACGUCUAUCAGAAAACUCGAUUUCUUAUACUUCCAGCUCUGUGACCGGAAAAGCUAGGGCUCUUUUCCAGUUCCACUCCAAACAAUCCUAAGAAAUGACUCUGAUUAGCUUUGCUCAGGUUACAUGCUCACCCCUGGACCCGAAACUGGGGUCAUGGGAACUGGUACCUAUGUUCGGCUAGACCAAGGUGAUGUAUCUUCCCUCUUCCCUUCCCAUUAGUCAACAGGUGGACGAUUUAAUUUGGAUUACAAGCCUGGAAGGAUGGGGAGAGCAGUAUGCUAAAGGAAUUAGGGCUACUGAAAGUAGGACAGAAACGAUUGCUGUCUAGCAUCACAGAACUGAGUGCGUCUGUCUGAUUCCAGAACAUAAGCAUCCUGUGCUCUAUCUCAUGCCUUGCAGAGAAGAGGAAUGUGGCUGGAGAUCUUAAGAGGAAGCUCUUUAUGAAAAACAGAAUCAACAUUCCUCUGCUUCUUAAGUUAGUUGAAAUUUGUUUUUUUUUUUCCACUUACAUGUUCUUUCAUUCUAAAAAAAAGUGUCACAUCACUGUAAAAUGGAGAGCUGAACUAAUUCAUGGUCUAUAUGCUUACCUGUACAUUUAUUGAACCAAGAGUUAUAGAUUUGAGGAAAAUGAUAAAGUUUUUUAGGUUGCUCAAAAAUGUGAUUUCACAUUUUUUUCUGCAGAACACACCAUUGAUAUCAUUGGUUUCCUGCAUGCUUAAACGUUCAAAGAAUUUGGUACCAAGGCCUGUGGCUUGAAUGUCCUAAGCUAGAUGUGUGGGUAACAUUCUUUGGGUUGCUGGGGAUACUCUUCUUCAGGCCACCAUAAGAAAGAAAGAGCCCAUUGUAUGGAUUCCUGAAGGUUGGGAUUUUGCUGACCUGGGAUGCUGCAGGAAUCACCUAGAUGCCAGGACCACUAUUUCUGGUCUUUCUUAUGAAUUUUAUGGUGUCUCUCUACAUGUCUCCAUGUCUCCUUAAAUCUCUGCUCCAUCCUCUUCUCAUUUGUAGCUGGGCAAUCUUAUCAACACCUUGAAUCUCAAAUUUCAGAUGAGACUUCCACAGUGGUUUCCAUAAUUAUCCCCUCCCUCUUUCAGUCCUUUAUUCCAGGUGACCACAAAUAUCACCGACCACCCCACGGAUGGGAUCUCUUGGGUCAGAUUUCCAUCUUGAUUCGAUCAGAAGCCUCCCAUGAACAGCGAUGUGGGUGGUGCUGCUUUCCUGAAUAGGGAAUUUUGGGCCCGCCAGUAGUUUGGGC